AGUUCGGAUUGCAGGCUGAAACCCGCCUGUAUGAAGUUGGAAUCGCUAGUAAUCGCGGAUCAGCAUGCCGCGGUGAAUACGUUCCCGGGCCUUGUACACACCGCCCGUCACACCAUGAGAGUCGGGAACACCCGAAGUCCGUAGCCUAACCGCAAGGGGGGCGCGGCCGAAGGUGGGUUCGAUAAUUGGGGUGAAGUCGUAACAAGGUAGC
RNAcentral lists this ribosomal RNA (211 nucleotides) under uncultured bacterium. Its description in RNAcentral is "partial 16S ribosomal RNA". It matches the Rfam family "Bacterial small subunit ribosomal RNA", at positions 1290 to 1500 of the family's 1533-position model. The record is from RNAcentral.